Molecule: ribosomal RNA, 515 nt
Filed under: uncultured bacterium
Lineage: Bacteria
Description: partial 16S ribosomal RNA
Rfam family: Bacterial small subunit ribosomal RNA
Source: RNAcentral
GAUGAACGCUGGCGGCGUGCCUAAUACAUGCAAGUCGAGCGAAUGGAUUAAGAGCUUGCUCUUAUGAAGUUAGCGGCGGACGGGUGAGUAACACGUGGGUAACCUGCCCAUAAGACUGGGAUAACUCCGGGAAACCGGGGCUAAUACCGGAUAACAUUUUGAACCGCAUGGUUCGAAAUUGAAAGGCGGCUUCGGCUGUCACUUAUGGAUGGACCCGCGUCGCAUUAGCUAGUUGGUAAGGUAACGGCUCACCAAGGCAACGAUGCGUAGCCGGGCGGGGAGGGCGGACGACCACACUGGGACUGGGAAACGGCCCAGAGUCCUGCGGGAGGCAGCAGUAGGGAAUCUUCCGCAAUGGACGAAAGUCUGACGGAGCAACGCCGCGUGAGUGAUAAAGGCUUUCGUGUCGUAGAACUCUGUUGUUAGGGAAAAACAAGUGCUAGUUGAAUAAGCUGGCACCUUGACGGUACCUAACCAGAAAGCCACGGCUAACUACGGGCCAGCCGCCGCAGUAA